AUAACGUUUAAUAACUGUUUAGAAGUUUUUCACACAAUUACAGCUAAUUUUAGAAUGUAAACAUAAACAUUCAAACCUCAAUCCUGUUAAGCCAGAAACCAUUUCAUAUGCAACUACAUAGAAAUCAAGAGAACCUUGCACAAAAGCAAACAUUUAUGUUUUGUCUGGAUGAGCAAAUGUUUGUCAGUUUUAAAUUACAUGCUAAGGUUUGCAAAAUACUUGUUCUUUGAUAUGACCGCCCAAAGAAUAUAUGAAUACAUUCAGAAUAUACAGGAAUAUAGAAAUAUCUAUGCAUGAAUUCCCUUUUUUAGCCAGUCAUAAUAGGAAACGUAACAAGCAGUGAGGAGACAAGAGAAUCAACUUCUCCCUUACAGUGGAUGCCAAUCCUAUAAAUAGUUCAGUAAAUGCUAAAUUCUAACUUUUGUGAGAUAGGAAUUUAUAAUUGUGUUUGUGAAUAGAAAUAAUUAUGUUUGUGAAGCUACACGUUUCCUGAAGCAUUUUCCUUUGGUCAUAAAUCAUGCAUAAAAAUGUGUUCAUGUCUUAGCCUUCCUGUUUUCCUGCAAAAUAUGGCCCUAUUCCUCCCCAGAAAACAUCUCCUAGCUUACCUCAGUGGGAGGGUGGGGAUGAUUGGGAAGGUCUUUUUGAAGAGGAAAAGGAAACAUUUACCUACAAAACUAGCUAGAGAUACUUAAUGCUCAGUGAAAACAGUGAGGAUUUUUAUGUAAAUCUAAGCAUCUUAUCACCUUCAGUCCAUGUCAGUGGGCAACAUUUUUUUUGUUGUUGCAAUAUGGUGAGGAGUGGAAGGACAAGGAGUGGAACACACAUAAUUCACAGCACCUUUGUUGGCUCUGCGAUGAUGUUAUUUUGACACUGGUGUGGGGAAUUAUUUUCACAGAGCUAAGUGUGUUUUGAUGAUCAUUUAUUUUAAUUAUAAUUCUUCAAGUUAAUAAUAAUAAUAAAAGAGAAAGACUUUUCAUUUCAACAAUUUUAUGGUUCAGAAAUAGAAAGACUACACACCAUCACAAUCAGUCUCUGGAACCCUAACAGGCUGAAUUUCCAUUGUCUUCUUUGGUGGCUAGGUCUCAACAGCACUAUUCCUGAACUUGGUGCAAAAUAAAUUCCUGUGGGACAAUCCAGAUAACUACAAAUUCGAGAACAAGAAAACUCACUUAGAAAAGUUACAAAUGAGGAUGCUGGAAAAACAGCAACUAUAAAACAGUUUGAAAGAUUGGCAAAGCAUUGUGACUAUUCUACAGAGAAAAAUUGGUGUUUCAAACUAUUUGAAGAUGGAAAUUAAUGAAGAGUUGUCUGUUGCAAUAUUUAAAUUAAAAAAUACACAGUAUACAAUUUUAUGGACUGUAUUACAAAACCUUUGAAAAUUAAAGUAAGUCCCCAAUGCACAAUGAAAAAGACUCCAUAGUAUAAGCUAACUGGCUUUCAGAUGUGGUGUAGCAUCAUAACCAACCAUGAUACAAAAGUCAAAGACUGAAGUGUAAUCCUCAACAUGGAGAAAAGUCAAGGAUAGAAAGAUUUGUAUAAGGUAUUUAUUGUAGAUGAAGAAAAGAAAGCAAGCACCAAAGGGAAGCAGGACGACUCAUGAUGAAAUCCAUAAACAUUUUUGCUGGGUGCUGGAGUCACUGUAACUCUUGGAUGGAAUGGCACCGCGGUCCUAUGUGAAACUCGGUGCUGGUAAAGCAAUGUUCUGUGAGCUGACAUGGAAUGACCCAAAGUAUACAUCUGUUGGUCUGGGAUAAGUAUCCAGCCAUUCAGAGAGUCUGACAAUACUUCUGCAGAUUGUUGCACAAGUAGAUCCAAUAAAAAGACAAAAGUGUGCAUGAGAAAUACUGCAUAUAAUAAAAUACUCUGUUGCAGCCACAUGUAUUAAGAUUAGGCCUUCACUUGGAAUAUUGUUUUCUGAUUGUCCUACCUGAACACAAUGUAACAAAAUAAGAUAGGAGUCUGAAAAGCAUAGAAAUACAGAGAGAAUCAGACAGAAAAAAAAGAGUAAAAAAAAUGCCUAGCUGGGAAACGAUAAGUCUUUAACACAGAAAAUGAAUGGAAAAGUGAAAUCAUUUCUAUUUACUCAUUUCUAUAAUGGAAACAAAUAAAUACAUUCAAUGAAACUGGAAAGAAAAAAAUUAUAGUAAACAUAAGUAGCUGAUGACAGAUGCUCAGCGUGAAUUUUGGGGAAGACUGGACAUUUAUAAGGAUCACCACAAAGCAUUUUGGGUGGGAUUAACAACACAAGCAUUUUGGAAAAGAUGUAGGGUCUUAAUGAUCAAACAUGUACCCUGAUCGUUAAUUACAGGAGGUUUAAAACAUAAAGCUUCCUCUUCAGUGUUAUUCCAUAUUCACCCACUAUGGGAGUUCUUGCAUUUUCCUUUGAAAUGACAGAGCCAGGAUGGCAGCUGAAAUGCUGGUCUGAUGCAGCCUAAAGCUUCCAAAGCUAUCAAAAAUGUUGUGUUCACGCAUACAGAUUGAGACAUUAGGUCCACAUUUUUCGGAGGAAACUUGUUUUCAAUCCCCUGAAAUACAAGAAACAAACAAAACAAAACCAUCAGACAAUGAAGGUUAAGUUACCAAGCAAUACUUCAUUCACUUGAUUACGAGAAGUACUAUUACAAGACCUGGAAAGCAGCACUUUAUAUAUUUUUUUCAAAUUUAAAAUAACAACAAUGGAAGCCAAAAAAUAACUAUUUAUAAGGAAAGCAAUAAUAAAAAUAACUGCACAGUCUGCUCCAUGCAUUGACUUUCUUCACCCUCUGUAAGGGAAGGGUUGCUAUUUAUGGAAUGCUCCAAGUCUGCCUUUCAGGACGCAGCCCAGCUUGGCUGGACAGCUUUCAGUUGCUACUACAAAUAUGUCACUUAUUAGGAACAGAGGGGAUGUUUAUCACUAUCUCAAGGGUUACUUUGGCUGAGGCAAAGAAAUAGCUCAGUUAUAUAAUGGAAAGAGCUGGGUCAAAGGAUGAGGCAUUUAUAUAGCGUGUACUCAAGACUCAGGAGUGCAGACUCAGUUUCUCUCUUCUGUGUCCUUCACAGGCAGUGGUACCACAGCUAUACAGGUCUCCCCAGGCUCUCUCAAAGCUAGGGGGGCUGAAGUUACUAUUAAAGAACACUGCUCAAGCUCUUCAGCUGAGGGAAAAGAUGCAUUUUUCCCAUUGCUCCUCUUGCCCUGCCAGUAGUACCUAGUGAGACUCUUUGUUGUUACCCCACCCAUCAUAUAGCUAUAGCUCAAAC
This 3237-nucleotide long non-coding RNA is filed under the name Gallus gallus (chicken). Its description in RNAcentral is "lncRNA (ENSGALG00010009433.1)". Lineage: Eukaryota; Metazoa; Chordata; Aves; Galliformes; Phasianidae. The record is from RNAcentral.